AGAAUAUUGCACAAUGGACGAAAGUCUGAUGCAGCGACACCGCGUGAGGGAUGAAGGUUUUAGGAUCGUAAACCUCUUUUAUUAGGGAAUAGUAAGGAAGGUACCUAAUGAAUAAGGUACGGCUAACUACGUGCCAGCAGCCGCGGUAAUACGUAGGUACCGAACGUUGUCCGGAAUCACUGGGCGUAAAGGGUCCGUAGGCGGUUUGAUAAGUCUCAUAUGAAAACUUCAAGCUUAACUUGGAGAGGUUGUGAGAUACUGUCAAACUAGAGACUGUUAGAGGUAAGUGGAAUUCCAGGUGUAGUGGUGAAAUGCGUAGAUAUCUGGAGGAACACCAGUGGCGAAAGCGACUUACUGGGACAGUUCUGACGCUAAGGGACGAAAGCGUGGGGAGCGAACCGGAUUAGAUACCCGGGUAGUCCACGCCGUAAACGAUGAUUGCUAGGUUUUCGGGGCAUCGACCCCUUGUGAGCCGAAGUUAACGCGUUAAGCAAUCCGCCUGAGUAGUACGGCCGCAAGGCUAAAACUCAAAGGAAUUGACGGGGGACCGCACAAGCAGCGGAGCGUGUGGUUUAAUUCGAUGGUAAGCGAAGAACCUUACCAGGGUUUGACAUGUAAGUAGUACUGAACCGAAAGGGGAUGGACCCGCAAGGGAGCUUACACAGGUGUUGCAUGGUUGUCGUCAGCUCGUGCCGUGAGGUGUUGGGUUAAGUCCCGCAACGAGCGCAACCCUCUUUGUUAGUUGCACUCUCUAACGAUACUGCCCUUAAAAGGGAGGAAGGUGGGGAUGACGUCAAAUCAUCAUGGCUCUUACACCCUGGGCUACACACACGCUACAAUGGCAAGUACAGACGGUCGCCAACCCGCGAGGGGGAGCCAAUCCGAUAAAACUUGUCUCAGUUGGGAUUGUAGGCUGAAAUUCGCCUACAUGAACGUGGAGUUGCUAGUAAACGCAGGUCAGCACACUGCGUUGAAUACGUUCCCGG
This 986-nucleotide ribosomal RNA is filed under the name marine metagenome. Its description in RNAcentral is "bacterial SSU rRNA". It matches the Rfam family "Bacterial small subunit ribosomal RNA", at positions 358 to 1377 of the family's 1533-position model. The record is from RNAcentral.